RNAcentral lists this long non-coding RNA (691 nucleotides) under Setaria viridis. RNAcentral's name for it is "long non-coding RNA (SVIR_LNC010659)". Lineage: Eukaryota; Viridiplantae; Streptophyta; Magnoliopsida; Poales; Poaceae. The record is from RNAcentral.
UGAGCUCCUCCUCACCUCCAUAGACGAGGAACAUAUCUUUAGUCCUUCUCAAGUACUUAAGAAUGUUUUUCACCGCUGUCCAGUGACUCUCACCCGGAUUAGACUAGUGUCUGCGUGUCAAUCCUCACAACAACAAAAUCAAAAUCAUAACAGGCAGCCUCAGUAGCAGCAGCCACCAAAUUUUGGCAGUGGACAGAGAAGCGAUUAUGCCAGAAGAGGAAGAGGCUGAGGCAGAGGGCCUACGAGGCCGCAUAACCUCAACAACUAACCUCGAAUGUUCUACUGCACCUUCCAUUGUAAGCAACUAGACCACGCAACUGACUUUUGUCCAGAAACCAAAAAGACCUUCGAAAGAAUAGCUAAAGAGAAAAAAGCUGCUGCAGUACCAAAAACCAUCAACCAUUUUUUCUAGCCACAACAGCCAUACUUCCCAAACACUAACCUCGCAAACUUCCAACCCACCAUGACGUGCCAACAUUCACCACAAUUCCAGCCUCAAACUCAGCAAGCCUCACAAACCGCGAGCUUUAUGCCCUCCCAACCUCUACAUGAGAUACCACUACCUCCACCAAACCUACCCAACCAAAUUCCUAAAGCCGAACCUAACAACGCACAAAACAACAACCCCAAAGCUUUACCCACUUAUGGCAUGAUAAUGCUAAUAUCAGAAGGAUUCUCGCAACUUGAACAC